GAGUUUGAUCAUGGCUCAGAUUGAACGCUGGCGGAAUGCUUUACACAUGCAAGUCGAGCGGCAGCGCGGGGCAACCUGGCGGCGAGCGGCGAACGGGUGAGUAAUGCAUCGGAACAUGUCCAUGUCGUGGGGGAUAGCCCGGCGAAAGCCGGAUUAAUACCGCAUACGCCCGAGAGGGGAAAGCCGGGGACCGCAGGGCCUGGCGCGAUCGGGUUGGCCGAUGUCCGAUUAGCUAGUUGGCGGGGUAAGAGCCCACCAAGGCGAUGAUCGGUAGCUGGUCUGAGAGGAUGAUCAGCCACACUGGGACUGAGACACGGCCCAGACUCCUACGGGAGGCAGCAGUGGGGAAUUUUGGACAAUGGGGGAAACCCUGAUCCAGCCAUUCCGCGUGAGUGAAGAAGG
This 402-nucleotide ribosomal RNA is filed under the name uncultured beta proteobacterium. RNAcentral's name for it is "bacterial SSU rRNA". It matches the Rfam family "Bacterial small subunit ribosomal RNA", at positions 9 to 414 of the family's 1533-position model. The record is from RNAcentral. Lineage: Bacteria; Pseudomonadati; Pseudomonadota; Betaproteobacteria.